This 216-nucleotide ribosomal RNA is filed under the name uncultured bacterium. RNAcentral describes it as "partial 16S ribosomal RNA". It matches the Rfam family "Bacterial small subunit ribosomal RNA", at positions 118 to 351 of the family's 1533-position model. The record is from RNAcentral.
UGGAUAUCUGCCUUUUGGUUCGGGAUAACCCUGGGAAACUAGGGCUAAUACCGAAUGGUUCCUACGGGAUAAAGAUUUAUCGCCAAAAGAUGAGUCCGCAUCCGAUUAGCUAGUUGGUGGGGUAAUGGCUCACCAAGGCGACGAUCGGUAGCUGGUCUGAGAGGACGAUCAGCCACACUGGGACUGAGACACGGCCCAGACUCCUACGGGAGGCAG